GUGAAGAACGCAGCGAAAUGCGAUACGUAAUGUGAAUUGCAGAAUUCAGUGAAUCAUCGAGUCUUUGAACGCAGAUUGCGCUCCCUGGUAUUCCGGGGGGCAUGCCUGUCCGAGCGUCAUUGCUGCCCUCAAGCACGGCUUGUGUGUUGGGCCUCCGUCCUCCUCCCGGGGGACGGGCCCGAAAGGCAGCGGCGGCACCGCGUCCGGUCCUCGAGCGUAUGGGGCUUCGUCACCCGCUCUUGUAGGCCCGGCCGGCGCUUGCCGACACAUCAAUCUUUUUUCCAGGUUGACCUCGGAUCAGGUAGGGAUACCCGCUGAACUUAAGCAUAUCAAUAAGCGGAGGA
RNAcentral lists this unclassified non-coding RNA (344 nucleotides) under soil metagenome. RNAcentral's name for it is "partial contains 5.8S ribosomal RNA, internal transcribed spacer 2, and large subunit ribosomal RNA". The stretch from base 2 to 119 matches the Rfam family "5.8S ribosomal RNA", at positions 37 to 154 of the family's 154-position model. The record is from RNAcentral.